Long non-coding RNA from Lycium ferocissimum, 812 nucleotides. RefSeq lists it as uncharacterized. Lineage: Eukaryota; Viridiplantae; Streptophyta; Magnoliopsida; Solanales; Solanaceae. The transcript has 3 exons. The record is from RefSeq and is a predicted model, not a curated record.
UUUAACUUUUGGCUAUUUGCAUUCAUGUUUUUAGUUUCCUUUCUUAAUCGUACUUGCGUUGUGGACAAGCAAUGAAUCAAACUUUGGGUGUUUCUUAAAAGAUUUAAAUUUUGAGAAUGUAUGUUGAGUGUUUUUAUUAAUAUAGUACUAAUAGUGAUUGAUUUAUUGUGAUAGUCUGUCUGGGAUUUACGCUUCACUGAUCUCUCUUACUCCCUUGGUGUUCAAAUAGCUUUUUCACAUAACAUUGUUGGUAGUCCUUUUUUUGUUCAUUCCAAGUAUAAGGGAAUGUUGGUGUAAGAUUCCUACGUAAUCUUGUGAUGCAAAUAAUAUCCGGUCCAUGGCUUGCUUGGUCACUUGAGGAAGCGGUGGAGGAAUACAAUGGAGAUUCAUUUGGGAAAUCAAGCAGUCCUUUAAAGAUCGAUCCAAAACUAAGAAGACGCUGUUGGAUAAGAGGCACUUUGUACUGGAGCAGAUCCAUCAUUUGGGAGAAGAUUCUCUCCCGUAAGGCUUAUUUCUAAAUUUAUUUGGCGGAAGUACGCAAGCAAGCUUUUGAAUUCAAGAGUUUUCAUCCUAAACUACUCCAAAUAUUGUGGUUUAUGGAAUGGUAAAAGUUGCCUACUAAGCUGAUGACUACAGCUCCUACGACAUAGGAAAUGAUGAGUUCGAAUGAGCUUAUGAUGAUAAUUUUGGGUGCUAUGCAUGAUUAAGAUGCUUGUGUGUUUUGCACAUACUGUAGAAUAAAAGAUGUCUGUCAUAUACGCAUCAUAAUGAUGUACACAAAGUGUUUUAAAAGUGUUUUUGUAAUGGGUAUC